AAAAAAGAAAAAAGAAAAAAAAAAAGGUAAAUUGAAGGUAGGUCUUUCUGGAUACUUUGGGAUCCUGAUGUCUUUGAGUAAAGCGGCUAAGAUAGGAUCCACGGUACUGGGAAGAGCUAUUGAUCUAGACUAUGGGGAGAAACUGGACUGCUUUUCCACAAUGGAAAUAAAGGGCUGCAUAUCUGGAGUGCAAGAGAUCCUCUGGGGUGUACUCUUAGUGUUGCCAUGCCCUGUGAUUCAGGUCAAUGGGAAACGAUAACAACCCAGCCCAAGCAGGAGGGUAAAUGGCUCAGAUCCUUUAGGAAUGAAGAAAGGAACAACACAACCUGCUGAGGCACUUCUGAGAAUGGAGGAGAUGCAGAUGGGGUGCUAGAGGAAGAUAAGCUAUAAAUACCAAGUAAGGCCAUGUGACCAGUUACAGACAUGAUCAUUGUAAUGGCCAUUGGGUGUUCCUGUCCUAGUUUGUUUCAAACAUGUUUGUUUGAAACCUGCAUGCUACAGUACUGAUCCUCCAGGCAAGAUGUGCUCACUGGUGCAAUAGUGGCAUGGCUAUCAUGGGGUAACCAGCUGCUCUCUGAUUUACCACGAGGCCUGCUACCCAAGAGGGGAUCCAUGCCUGCUAUCAACCUGAUUUGUGCUCCUGUCAUCAGCCUUGAUUAGAGAAGCUUCCUUCUGCGGUGGCAAAGUACUGUGGAAUAUGAAUUUAAGAUGUGUUACAUUUGUUAAUGCUGUGGAAUGGUUGUUUAAUGAUGCAAAGACGUGUCUGUAAGAAUUCAGGCAUUAUGCUGGCCCACCCCGUCACCUGGCAGAAUGCACUCAGGCAGUACCCUGGUCAGCCCAGGGUUCCAUGAUUGCCUAGUCUGUACGCAGGUGCAAAGGACCCUUUUAAAAGAAAGACACCCUCCCCCCACAUAAGCUCUCUUUCCCUCUCUCUUUCCUGCUAUUAUUCCUCUGGGGCAGACAGGACUUUUCCUGUCUCACUCUUCUCUUCACCUCUUUCCUCCCCUCCCCCCCUUUCCUUUCCUAAUAAAACUUCUCACUUAAGCUCUGUCUGCCUGGCAUGUUUGUCCCUUGCCUGCCAUGGAGUCUGCCAAGGUUCCCCUCACGAUUUAUCAUGACAC
This 1121-nucleotide long non-coding RNA is filed under the name Cricetulus griseus (Chinese hamster). Its description in RNAcentral is "lncRNA (ENSCGRG00015033099.1)". The record is from RNAcentral. Lineage: Eukaryota; Metazoa; Chordata; Mammalia; Rodentia; Cricetidae.